Molecule: ribosomal RNA, 236 nt
Filed under: Paenibacillus sp. FSL H7-0326
Lineage: Bacteria; Bacillati; Bacillota; Bacilli; Caryophanales; Paenibacillaceae
Description: partial 23S ribosomal RNA
Rfam family: Bacterial large subunit ribosomal RNA
Source: RNAcentral
ACCGGGAUGGACGUACCGCUGGUGUACCAGUUGUUCCGCCAGGAGCACCGCUGGGUAGCUAUGUACGGACGGGAUAAGCGCUGAAAGCAUCUAAGCGUGAAGCCCCCCUCAAGAUGAGAUUUCCCAAUUAGUAAGACCCCUUGAAGACGACGAGGUAGAUAGGCUGGGGGUGGAAGUGCAGCAAUGCAUGGAGCUGACCAGUACUAAUCGGUCGAGGGCUUAUCCAAAGAAUACCC